UGAAAAUGAUUUUUAGUAGCGUAAAAGUUAAAUAUAUUUAUACAAACUAUAAUACGGAAAGCCAAAGUAUGAAAUUUAAUUUACAAUGCUACGUGGGCCCACAAAUGAACAAAAGUAGUAAAGACAGUAAACCUAUAGUUUUUGAAGUAGUAUGGCCAACUAUAGUUCUCGACGAUGUCUGCUAUCUACAAGCUAACCUGGCCUGAAAUGAUGGGAUAAAAAAAAGGGUGAGAUUAUAAAAUCUAAGUGAGUAAACAAACACCAUCUAAAUAAUCUAAAGGCGAGUAAAGGGAGAUAAUUAAAAAUAAUUCAUUUCAGCAAAUUUUUCACAACACGAAUAUUCAUUUGAACCAAAUAAUCAAUAUGGCUUGUGAAUUUCUCAAAACUUGGCUCAUGUCAAAUCUUGUACUCGGGGACACGUGGACCAAGGGUAUCCAACCGAGUCCGCCAAGGCUGUGAAAAAUUUUAUAGAAUCAUAAAACUUGUUUUUAUUUUGAAAAAAAGCAGUCGUUCCUUGGCUUUAAUUGAGUCUCACUUCACGUGGUGGUUAACGUGAAGUGCACUCAAAAAGCCCACCUCAGGAGAUACCCUACGUGCCUCUACGACCGAGGUGAGAAUAUAAAGGAGUUUACCGUGCCCCUCUAAUAGGUUGGUCCACGGAACCCCGCCACUGCAGUAGCUAAUCUUUAAUCCACCAAUUGAUCAAAUCUCAAAGGCAUAGCAUGGCAAUUACAUUACUAACCAAUUUUAUCAAGGCAAAACAGACAGUUCAUAUUUUUCAACACAAGUAUAAAUUUAGCCAAUCAUGNAUUUUAAAAAAAAAAACACAGUCGUUCCUUGGUGUUAACGGAGUUCAUCGUCACGAGGUGGUUCGGCAUGACGUGAACUCCAACCAUACCUCAGGAGAUACCUUACGUGCCUCUCCAACCGAGGUACAUAUAUAUAUCUGGAUUCUGUGCCCCUCUAAUAGGCUGGUCCACAGAACCCGCCUACUGCAGCAAGCUAAACCCACCAUACAAUAAAAUUUUAACAGCAUGACAAGGCUAAUAUAAUACUACCCAGCCUGCAAGGGUAAAAUAAAAUAAUUCAUACAAUUCAUAAAACACAGCCCAACCAAUCAAGCCAACACAAUAACAAUAUAACAUAAGCCAUCAAUUUCCAAUCAUAAAUUUGCAACAUGCCAGUGGUCUCCAAUUACUCUAUUUUCCAAAUCGUUAUUUCAUUUCAAGACAAUUUAUAAAGUCUUUUCAUUUAAACACAUUUUGUUUACAAAACAUAAAAAUUUACCAUUUUAACUCAUUAUCAUAAAAUUCACCAAAACCGAAUAAAAACAUACUUUAGAUAAUUAAAAUGAUGGUAAGGUUACUCACAAUGUCUAGAGUGGGGAUUUUCGAAAUACUCAGACUACUGGUCAUCGAAUGCAAUUCUCGGAGGACUCACCACCUUGACACAGUACAAAAUCGAGAAAUUCACCACAUUGGUACUAAAUUGCAAUUAAACUAAUUUAGACUACUAAUGCAUGAUAUGGAAUGCAAAAGGUCUAAAUUUUGCCUAAACACCGUAUUGACUUAUUUUGGUCUUUUACUCGAUAAAUUGAAAUACGCAUCCAAUUUAGCUCCCAUUGAUCCCAUUUCUUUUUCUAAUGCUUCAAAUCACCAAUGUCUAGCCAAAUAACCCAAAAAUCAGCAAAGCCACAUUCAUAUUCCUUCUUGGAAAAAUUCGACCAAAAUGGUGCAUCAUUGUCACAAUUUUUCGUACUGGAUUUUCUUUCCAUAAUUCAUUAAUUUCCAUAUCAAAAACCAUGAUUUCAUAAUCAAAUAACCUAAAAUAAUAUCACAUUCUUCCUCACCAUUGACUUGAAAAUUCAGCUAAGGCUAGGUAAUGGGAAAAAUGAAUGUUUUUUGUACAUAUUUUGUUUACUAACAUGCUAAACUAACACUAAACACUAACAUAUAUCAAAAUCAAAUCAAUUCAAAAAUUUUCUCUCUCUAGACACAUAUGACCAGCCAUGAAAUCACCAUGAAAACAUGCAAUUUAAUCAUGAAAAAUAAGGAGAAAUGCUUGGGAAUAAGAAAACUCAAGCUUAAUAGAAAAAAUCUUACCUUUUUCACUUAAUUUCCUUGAAAACUCACACUUUUUCUUUGAUUUUCUCUCUUUAGGGUUUGGUUUUUAUUUUCUCUCUCUUCUUGCUGGUUUGGC
Molecule: long non-coding RNA, 2199 nt
Filed under: Theobroma cacao (cacao)
Lineage: Eukaryota; Viridiplantae; Streptophyta; Magnoliopsida; Malvales; Malvaceae
Description: long non-coding RNA (TCAC_LNC005519)
Source: RNAcentral